This 419-nucleotide ribosomal RNA is filed under the name uncultured organism. Its description in RNAcentral is "bacterial SSU rRNA". It matches the Rfam family "Bacterial small subunit ribosomal RNA", at positions 346 to 779 of the family's 1533-position model. The record is from RNAcentral.
GUGCACCAGGCGCGAAUUUUUCACAAUGGGGGAAACCCUGAUGGAGCGACGCCGCGUGGAGGAUGAAGGCCCUCGGGUCGUAAACUCCUGUCAUGCGGGAACAAGAAAGUGAUAGUACCGCAAGAGGAAGAGACGGCUAACUCUGUGCCAGCAGCCGCGGUAAUACAGAGGUCUCAAGCGUUAUUCGGAUUCAUUGGGCGUAAAGGGUGCGUAGGUGGCGAUGUAAGUCUGGUGUGAAAUCUCGGGGCUUAACCCCGAAACUGCAUUGGAUACUGCGUUGCUUGAGGAUUGUAGAGGAGAGUGGAAUUCACGGUGUAGCAGUGAAAUGCGUAGAUAUCGUGAGGAAGACCAGUUGCGAAGGCGACUCUCUGGGCAAUUCCUGACACUGAGGCACGAAGGCCAGGGGAACAAACGGGAUU